Molecule: long non-coding RNA, 641 nt
Filed under: Ictidomys tridecemlineatus (thirteen-lined ground squirrel)
Lineage: Eukaryota; Metazoa; Chordata; Mammalia; Rodentia; Sciuridae
Description: lncRNA (ENSSTOG00000031954.1)
Source: RNAcentral
GGAAAAGGGAGAAUCUUUGCUCGUGCAAUUGCUUUAAUCUGAAAGCUGUUCUUGGAGCAUCUGUUGGAAAACAUUAGGAUUCUCCCAUCAUGCAGCGCGAGGAGCAUGACGUCACGGGAGCUGGGAGUGAGAAUGAGCGUGGUGAUGGGGAGGGGUCUCAAAUACUUGAACUGCGCGCUGCCAGGGGAAAGUGGGAGCUGGAUCCCGGUCCCUUCCACAGAAUCUGCAUGGAAACCCAGCAGGGCUGAGGCUGGUGGGCAGGACCCCAUCGAUAACUGCCCCCAACCAGGUCUACUGUGCCAUGGGCUGGCUCCUGCUGUGUGGAAAAGGUGCACAGGUAAGUCUGAGUUCAGACAGAGAGCCACCAGAGGGAGGGGUCCUCCUCCCCGCUACCAGAAAGAUGAAGAGCAGAAGAAUGGACUAUGGACGUCAGUGUCACCUGGUGCCUUGUCUGUGAGUCACAAAGAUAAUUUCCAGUCCCUUGACAGGGUCUGCACCCCAGAGGCCUUCAUCACUGCACCCGCCCGCAUACAGCUGAGGGGUCAGAGCAAACCCAAGGACCAGGCUCAGCAUCAGCAUCCUGGAGCCAAGGGGGCAUGGGAAGCAGAAGACAGAGGCAUGGCUACUUAUUAUUGCUUUAA